GCCGAUGGCUUUGCUGAACUCGCUGCGUCUCGUCCCAUCGGUUCUGAGAAAAUAAGCAGUUCCAGGCCUGGCUAAACGGUGCGGGGAGAUCAUCUGGGAAUUCAGGAAGCUAACGGCA
Anser brachyrhynchus (Pink-footed goose) is the source of this 118-nucleotide ribosomal RNA. NCBI's taxonomy places the organism in Eukaryota, Metazoa, Chordata, Aves, Anseriformes, Anatidae. The record is from Ensembl.